RNAcentral lists this long non-coding RNA (1225 nucleotides) under Oryctolagus cuniculus (rabbit). RNAcentral describes it as "lncRNA (ENSOCUG00000036766.1)". The record is from RNAcentral. Lineage: Eukaryota; Metazoa; Chordata; Mammalia; Lagomorpha; Leporidae.
AUGCCUUGUUUACAUCGGUCACCUCCCAGAGGCCAGAGACAGUCAGUGGCGUCCUGGGUACUGCAGGUAGGACAAGAGGAGGUGAGGAAGCCAAGUAAUAAAGCAGAGUCAAGUCAGCUGCUCGGCUGGGAGCUCGCGCCUGGAGGUGGUGCCGAGUCUCCACCAGCUGUCCUGCCCACACUGGCUGCGCAGGACUCGACUGGGCAUGCAAACUACAAAUUGCAGGGGCCGAGCCUUGGCACUCAGGAUUCUACUUGCAGUGUGGCCACAGACAACUCUCCAAAGAGUCAAUUCCCUUGAAUUCUGACUCAAGUGUCUUUGGCCGGAACUGAGAAUGGACAACAGGUAAUAUCUUUUUUUCUGUAGUUUCAUUUGAAUUUUUUUCAUUUGCUUUUUCUGACAUCAGAAUGCUGGAAAGACACAGACAUUCUAGGCUGCUUAGAAAGACAUAGGCAAAUGGGUGUGGGAAGGGAGAAGAAUUAAGAAAGUCAUUUUAAAUUUUCAUUGCAUUUGGAAGGCAGAGAGAGAGAUCUUCCAUCUACUGGUUCAGUCCUCAAAUGCCUGCAACCAUCAGGGCUGGGCCAGGCUAAAGCCAGGAGCCCAGAACUCGUGCACGUUUCCACACAGGUGGUAGAGUCCCAAAUAAUUGAACCUCAUGUGCUACCUCGGAGGGUCUGCAUUAUGCUGUGUCUCUCUCUUCAUGUUUCUCUUCACCUACCCUCCUCAAUUUUCCUGAAAACUCACCAUCUUAAUUCUGUUUUCAUACUCCUUGCAUGAAAUGGCUGCUUGCAUGCUCAGCAUUUACUCAAGUCCCCACUGUAGCUACAUUUCUAUUAAAAUGUCCGUGUGUCUUUUUCUUUAGGGUACAUGCGUUGUAUUUGUAAACAAAGAACAUCCCCUCACAAAGUGCAUGGUUUUGUGCAGACGUGGAACAAGAGGACUGGACCUAGUAAGUUGAAAGAACCCAUCACAGAAACAGUGGAAAGGGAAAAGGAUAUUCAACUGAUUUUCAUGUUUCAAGGUGGAAAACCUAUAGAUAAGAGGUUUUUCCCUAGACAUUAAUAUUCUAGAAUGUUUUAGACAUUAUGGAGAAAGACAAAAUGGCCUGUAUCUGACCUUCUGGAACAAAACCUGUGUCUUGGCAAACUCUCUCGCACACAUACUGAACGGUUGCAGAUCUUGCUGGACAUCAUUCGUCAGAACAAACAUCAGUGGCCCAUUAAAU